This 85-nucleotide transfer RNA is filed under the name Cryobacterium lactosi. Its description in RNAcentral is "Cryobacterium sp. Sr59 tRNA-Leu". It matches the Rfam family "tRNA". Rfam says of the family: Transfer RNA (tRNA) molecules are approximately 80 nucleotides in length. The record is from RNAcentral. Lineage: Bacteria; Bacillati; Actinomycetota; Actinomycetes; Micrococcales; Microbacteriaceae.
GCGGGAGUGGUGAAAUUGGUAUACACGCAGGUUUUAGGUACCUGUGCCGUAAGGCGUGAGGGUUCAAGUCCCUUCUCCCGCACCG